UGCCCAUGAUCAUACAAGAAGCAUACAGAA
Molecule: non-coding RNA, 30 nt
Filed under: Mus musculus (house mouse)
Lineage: Eukaryota; Metazoa; Chordata; Mammalia; Rodentia; Muridae
Source: RNAcentral